GCGUGAAAAUAUUCACAUGCCCAAGUAGGUGUCUGUUCAAAGGCUUUUUUUUUUUUUUUUUGGUGAACAGAUGGAGAUAUCCUGGAUACUUAGCUCAGCGGGAUGUUUGAGAAUGAAUGUGAAUUCUUCCACAAGGAUGAGAGCAAACAGAUAACUUUAUUUUCAUGCACAACUGUGAUUAAAAUCUCAUUCCUUCAGCCAGGGAGGAAGGGAUAUGUCAGCAUGCAAAGGCUACAACCACUCCAUGAAGAUAUGAGGUGAUGGCAUAAAACAAUUCAAAGGUAUUCCACUGAGGCAGAUGAAUUUAAACAUGGCCACAGGCGUAAGAAGAUUUGGAACGCAUGUCCAUUAAACUCACAAAUAGCUUGCCAAAUGGAGCAAAUGGAAAAACCCUCUUCCUGACAACUAUAAAUGUUGCACAAAGAUUAAAAUAAUGAGAUUGAGCUGCUACAUUGACUGUAGCAGGGUUCUGAGUUCCCAUUUUUCCAUUCAUCUGUUUGUGCCAACACAUGCCUCUUUAUCACUGUCUGAGGAAAUUUAUAGUGAAAAAAAUUAAAAGUGGAUAACCUGGGUUAUGAAGUUAAAAGAGCUAGGUCAGUAGUAAAUAUUACAAAUUAAGAUAUGUUAGUUAGCCAUAUCUUUGCUUACGCUGUUGUGGACUUUCACUAGACAAAAAAAAUUGUGAUGCUGAAAAGCAUAUCUUGGUGGAGUAUUAUUUUAUCCAGGUAGAAAUGACGAAAUCACAUUUAAAACAGAAAACUUAACAUUUCAUUUAAAAUUUUUCAUUCAUUCAUUCUUUAGAAGUAAG
RNAcentral lists this long non-coding RNA (808 nucleotides) under Anser brachyrhynchus (Pink-footed goose). RNAcentral describes it as "lncRNA (ENSABRG00000020259.1)". The record is from RNAcentral. Lineage: Eukaryota; Metazoa; Chordata; Aves; Anseriformes; Anatidae.